GAUGAGAUUUUAAGCAGCCUGGUGCGUUCAGAAAUUUUGUUGAACGUCAGUGCUUUGACGAUGUGAUCUGGGUGUGUUGGCCUGGGCAAAUCGCUGGGCAAAUUGCUGGGCAUAUCACUGAGUGUGUCUGUGGGCACAUCGCUAGGCACAUCACUUGGUAAGUCCAUGGGCGCAUCGGUGGGCACAUCGCUGGGCAUAGCGCUGGUGAAAUCAGUAGGCGCAUCAGUGGGCACAUCCGUGGGCUCAUCAGUGGUGGGAGCAGUGGGCAAAUCGCUUGGCACAUCGCUGGCCAUAGCACUUGGCAAGUCUGUGGGCGCAUCACUGGGCACAGCGCUGGUGGAAUCAGUGGGCAUACCACUUUCUUUGAGUCCUGCG
Molecule: long non-coding RNA, 375 nt
Filed under: Manihot esculenta (cassava)
Lineage: Eukaryota; Viridiplantae; Streptophyta; Magnoliopsida; Malpighiales; Euphorbiaceae
Description: long non-coding RNA (MESC_LNC006463)
Source: RNAcentral